UCGGAUUUAGUUUGGUAACUUCUUUAGGUAUAGCAUAAUCGGUCGCUUUGUUUUUGUUUACUUCUGAACUUUGUACUGAACUUUGUCUUUUGAUUGCGGCUAUGUAGAUGACAGCACACAUCUCAGUUGCCGACAUCCAUCUACAAGCUGCUAAGAAGAAAGCAACGACCGAUGCCAAACCAUCCCGACCGUUGAAGAGAAGUCGGGGUGAGUCUGGGUCGGUAUCGACGAGGG
This 234-nucleotide long non-coding RNA is filed under the name Elaeis guineensis (African oil palm). RNAcentral's name for it is "long non-coding RNA (EGUI_LNC038639)". The record is from RNAcentral. Lineage: Eukaryota; Viridiplantae; Streptophyta; Magnoliopsida; Arecales; Arecaceae.